AUUGAACGCUGGCGACAUGCCUUACACAUGCAAGUCGAACGGCAGCACGGGUGCUUGCACCUGGUGGCGAGUGGCGAACGGGUGAGUAAUACAUCGGAACAUGUCCUGUAGUGGGGGAUAGCCCGGCGAAAGCCGGAUUAAUACCGCAUACGAUCUACGGAUGAAAGCGGGGGACCUUCUGGCCUCGCGCUAUAGGGUUGGCCGAUGGCUGAUUAGCUAGUUGGUGGGGUAAAGGCCUACCAAGGCGACGAUCAGUAGCUGGUCUGAGAGGACGACCAGUCACACUGGGACUGAGACACGGCCCAGACUCCUACGGGAGGCAGCAGUGGGGAAUUUUGGACAAUGGGCGAAAGCCUGAUCCAGCAAUGCCGCGUGUGUGAAGAAGGCCUUCGGGUUGUAAAGCACUUUUGUCCGGAAAGAAAUCCUUGGCCCUAAUACGGUCGGGGGAUGACGGUACCGGAAGAAUAAGCACCGGCUAACUACGUG
This 486-nucleotide ribosomal RNA is filed under the name uncultured bacterium. RNAcentral's name for it is "partial 16S ribosomal RNA". It matches the Rfam family "Bacterial small subunit ribosomal RNA", at positions 30 to 507 of the family's 1533-position model. The record is from RNAcentral.